AUUGAACGCUGGCGGCAUGCCUUACACAUGCAAGUCGAACGGUAACAGGUCUUCGGAUGCUGACGAGUGGCGAACGGGUGAGUAAUACAUCGGAACGUGCCCAGACGUUGGGGAUAACGAGGCGAAAGCUUUGCUAAUACCGCAUACGAUCUAAGGAUGAAAGCAGGGGACCGCAAGGCCUUGCGCGUUUGGAGCGACCGAUGGCAGAUUAGGUAGUUGGUGGGAUAAAAGCUUACCAAGCCGACGAUCUGUAGCUGGUCUGAGAGGACGACCAGCCACACUGGGACUGAGACACGGCCCAGACUCCUACGGGAGGCAGCAGUGGGGAAUUUUGGACAAUGGGCGAAAGCCUGAUCCAGCAAUGCCGCGUGCAGGAUGAAGGCCUUCGGGUUGUAAACUGCUUUUGUACGGAACGAAAAGGCUCUGGCUAAUACCUGGGGCACAUGACGGUACCGUAAGAAUAAGCACCGGCUAACUACGUG
Molecule: ribosomal RNA, 482 nt
Filed under: uncultured bacterium
Lineage: Bacteria
Description: partial 16S ribosomal RNA
Rfam family: Bacterial small subunit ribosomal RNA
Source: RNAcentral